GAGUGUAAUGAAGAGUUUGUAACUCCUACAUUCUACCUUAUGAUUUUGUUAUUUAUAGUAUUUGUUGCCUACACUUUUCUGUAGUAUCAUACCAUUGUACAAUAUGACGGGAAUCAACUGGUUCAGAUGAGACUUCAUAAAUCUUUGAGAUUGUGGACGUUUUAUGUUGAUUUGGAGGAAAGUCUAGGUAAUGUGGAGUCUACUCAGGCAGUUUAUGAACGAAUUUUGAAUUUACAAAUAGCCACACUACAAGUAAUAAUCAAUUAUGCAUACUUUCUAGAGGAGAACAACUACUUUGAAGAUGCUUUUAAGGUUUAUGAAAGAGGAGUGAAGAUUUUUAAGUACCCACUUGCUAUUGAUAUUUGAGUUACAUAUCUCUCUAAAUUUGUGAAGAGACAUGGAAGGACACAAUUGGAGAGAGCGAGAGAGUUGUUUGAGAACGCAGUUGAAAUGAAAACAUGGGAGUGGGACUGGCUUUCGAUGUCGUUUGCAGCAGGAUGGAAGUGGUUUGGGAGCGUGAAGAUGGAACUUACAUGGGAGGUGUUGCAGCAGUUUCAGCUAGGGCACAUAUGUGGGGUUCAGCCUCCGGUCAUCUGCGAAUAUCCAGACAAUCCCUUCUAAUCCUGAAGCGUCUACUGUUUCCUCUGGUCCUACACGUAGGGAUUCCUUCCGACAGCGCAAGCCAAAUACCAGCAAACCACCAUCUUUGCACGUGGAUGACUAUGUGGCUAGGGAGAGGAAUGUUCAUGGGGUUACCAAUGUAAUAGUAGUGCCACGAACAGGAUCUACUGGUGGGAGGCCUCCAUCAAUCCAGGAUCUACCUGAUAAUGAUAACAUUAUGUUAUGAUAACUUU
RNA transcript from Vicia villosa (hairy vetch), 854 nucleotides. RefSeq lists it as uncharacterized. The transcript has 4 exons. The record is from RefSeq and is a predicted model, not a curated record. NCBI's taxonomy places the organism in Eukaryota, Viridiplantae, Streptophyta, Magnoliopsida, Fabales, Fabaceae.